UGGCGGCGUGCUAACACAUGCAAAUCUUGACGGGAAAGUCCUCUUCGGAGGGCGAGUACAGUGGCGAACGGGUGAGUAACACGUGGGCAAUCUGCCCUCAGGAUCGGGAUAACCUUGCGAAAGCGGGGCUAAUACCGGAUAAGACCACGCAGUCUCCGGGCAGUGUGGGAAAAGGUGGCCUCUCCAUGGAAGCUAUCACCUGAGGAUGAGCCCGCGGCCUAUUAGCUUGUUGGUGGGGUAACGGCCUACCAAGGCGACGAUGGGUAGCCGGCCUGAGAGGGUGUACGGCCACACUGGCACUGAGACACGGGCCAGACUCCUACGGGAGGCAGCAGUGAGGAAUUUUGCGCAAUGGGGGAAACCCUGACGCAGCAACGCCGCGUGAGUGAUGAAGGCCUUCGGGUUGUAAAGCUCUUUUAGUGGGGAAGAAACAUUCCGGGACGAAUAAUCCCGGGACUUGACGGUACCCACAGAAAAAGUUCCGGCUAACUACGUGCCAGCAGCCGCGGUAAAACGUAGGGAGCAAGCGUUGUUCGGAAUCAUUGGGCGUAAAGAGCGCGUAGGCGGCGUGGCAAGUCCUAUGUGAAAGCCCACAGCUUAACUGUGGAACUGCAUCGGAAACUGCCAUGCUAGAGUUCGGGAGAGGAGAGUGGAAUUCCCAGUGUAGAGGUGAAAUUCGUAGAUAUUGGGAGGAACACCGGUGGCGAAGGCGGCUCUCUGGACCGAUACUGACGCUGAGGCGCGAAAGCUAGGGGAGC
RNAcentral lists this ribosomal RNA (758 nucleotides) under uncultured Nitrospira sp. RNAcentral describes it as "bacterial SSU rRNA". It matches the Rfam family "Bacterial small subunit ribosomal RNA", at positions 37 to 769 of the family's 1533-position model. Lineage: Bacteria; Pseudomonadati; Nitrospirota; Nitrospiria; Nitrospirales; Nitrospiraceae. The record is from RNAcentral.